UAGCGUAAUCAUUUGUUCUUUAAUUGAGGACUAGUAUGAACGGCCCCACGAGGACUAUACUGUCUCCUUUUUCUGAUCAGUGAAACUGAUCUCCUCGUGAAGAAGCGAGGAUAAACAUAUAAGACGAGAAGACCCUAUGGAGCUUUAAACAACAGAUAUUUGCUAAUAAUCAAUUUUAUUUCUGAAAACUAAACAAAUUUAAAGCACUUUACUCUUAAGUUUUAGGUUGGGGUGACCACGGAGAAAAAAUCAACCUCCACGUUGUAAGAGGCCCCUUGGCCUCUAAGCUAAAAGCCACAGCUUAAAGCAUCAGCACACUGACCUCCAUUGACCCAAUAAUUUGAUCAACGAACCAAGUUACCCUAGGGAUAACAGCGCAAUCUACUUUGAGAGCUCAUAUCGACAAGUAGGUUUACGACCUCGAUGUU
This 428-nucleotide ribosomal RNA is filed under the name Ranitomeya flavovittata. RNAcentral describes it as "partial 16S ribosomal RNA". It matches the Rfam family "Bacterial large subunit ribosomal RNA", at positions 1957 to 2533 of the family's 2925-position model. Lineage: Eukaryota; Metazoa; Chordata; Amphibia; Anura; Dendrobatidae. The record is from RNAcentral.